Molecule: transfer RNA, 58 nt
Filed under: Marilia sp. XG-2021
Lineage: Eukaryota; Metazoa; Arthropoda; Insecta; Trichoptera; Odontoceridae
Description: tRNA-Ser
Source: RNAcentral
GAAAUAUUCCUUUUAAGCUGCUAACUUAACUUCAGUGAUUAAAAUCAUUAAUAUUUCU